This 1354-nucleotide ribosomal RNA is filed under the name uncultured bacterium. Its description in RNAcentral is "16S ribosomal RNA". It matches the Rfam family "Bacterial small subunit ribosomal RNA", at positions 46 to 1399 of the family's 1533-position model. The record is from RNAcentral.
GCCUAACACAUGCAAGUCGAGCGAAUGAAUUUCCUUCGGGAAUGGAUUUAGCGGCGGACGGGUGAGUAACACGUGGGCAACCUGCCUCAUAGAGGGGAAUAUCCUUCCGAAAGGGAGAUUAAUACCGCAUAAGAUUGUAGUACCGCAUGGUACAGCAAUUAAAGGAGCAAUCCGCUAUGAGAUGGGCCCGCGGCGCAUUAGCUAGUUGGUGAGGUAACGGCUCACCAAGGCGACGAUGCGUAGCCGACCUGAGAGGGUGAUCGGCCACAUUGGGACUGAGACACGGCCCAGACUCCUACGGGAGGCAGCAGUGAGGAAUAUUGGACAAUGGAUGGAAAUCUGAUCCAGCCAUGCCGCGUGCAGGAAGACGGCCUUAUGGGUUGUAAACUGCUUUUAUACGGGAGCAAUAAGGGUUACGAGUAAUCCGAUGAGAGUACUGUAUGAAUAAGGAUCGGCUAACUCCGUGCCAGCAGCCGCGGUAAUACGGAGGAUCCGAGCGUUAUCCGGAAUUAUUGGGUUUAAAGGGUGCGUAGGCGGCCAUUUAAGUCAGCGGUGAAAUUUUGCAGCUUAACUGUAACAGUGCCGUUGAUACUGUUUGGCUAGGAUUUGGUUGUAGUGUGCGGAAUGUGUGGUGUAGCGGUGAAAUGCUUAGAUAUCACACAGAACACCGAUUGCGAAGGCAGCACACUAAGUCAUUAUUGACGCUGAGGCACGAAAGUGUGGGAAUCAAACAGGAUUAGAUACCCUGGUAGUCCACACUGUAAACGAUGAUAACUCGCUGUCGGCGAUACACAGUCGGUGGCCAAGCGAAAGCAUUAAGUUAUCCACCUGGGGAGUACGACCGCAAGGUUGAAACUCAAAGGAAUUGACGGGGGCCCGCACAAGCGGAGGAACAUGUGGUUUAAUUCGAUGAUACGCGAGGAACCUUACCCGGGCUCGAACGGUGCAUGAAUAUACGAGAGAUUGUAUAGUCCUUCGGGACAUGUAUCGAGGUGCUGCAUGGUUGUCGUCAGCUCGUGCCGUGAGGUGUCGGGUUAAGUCCCAUAACGAGCGCAACCCCUAUCGAUAGUUACCAGCACGUUACGGUGGGGACUCUAUCGAGACUGCCGGUGUAAACCGUGAGGAGGGUGGGGAUGACGUCAAAUCAGCACGGCCCUUACAUCCAGGGCUACACACGUGUUACAAUGGCCGGUACAAAGGGCAGCUACACAGCGAUGUGAUGCUAAUCUCCAAAUCCGGUCUCAGUUCGGAUCGAAGUCUGCAACCCGACUUCGUGAAGCUGGAUUCGCUAGUAAUCGCGCAUCAGCCAUGGCGCGGUGAAUACGUUCCCGGGCCUUGUACACACCGCCCGUCA